CAGCCGCCGCGGUAAUACGUAGGUGGCAAGCGUUGUCCGGAAUUAUUGGGCGUAAAGGGCUCGCAGGCGGUCUCUUAAGUCUGAUGUGAAAGCCCCCGGCUCAACCGGGGAGGGUCAUUGGAAACUGGGAAACUUGAGUGCAGAAGAGGAGAGUGGAAUUCCACGUGUAGCGGUGAAAUGCGUAGAGAUGUGGAGGAACACCAGUGACGAAGGCGACUCUCUGGUCUGUAACUGACGCUGAGGAGCGAAAGCGUGGGGAGCGAACAGGAUUAGAUACCCCGGUAGUCCCUGUCUCUUAUAC
RNAcentral lists this ribosomal RNA (301 nucleotides) under uncultured bacterium. RNAcentral describes it as "partial 16S ribosomal RNA". It matches the Rfam family "Bacterial small subunit ribosomal RNA", at positions 509 to 807 of the family's 1533-position model. The record is from RNAcentral.